UACGUAGGGGGCAAGCGUUGUCCGGAUUUAUUGGGCGUAAAGGGCUCGUAGGCGGCCAACUAAGUCAUACGUGAAAUCCCUCGGCUUAACCGGGGAACUGCGUCUGAUACUGGAUGGCUUGAGUUCGGGAGAGGGAUGCGGAAUUCCAGGUGUAGCGGUGAAAUGCGUAGAUAUCUGGAGGAACACCGGUGGCGAAGGCGGCAUCCUGGACCGAUACUGACGCUGAGGAGCGAAAGCGUGGGGAGCGAACAGG
This 253-nucleotide ribosomal RNA is filed under the name uncultured bacterium. RNAcentral's name for it is "partial 16S ribosomal RNA". It matches the Rfam family "Bacterial small subunit ribosomal RNA", at positions 524 to 776 of the family's 1533-position model. The record is from RNAcentral.